RNAcentral lists this ribosomal RNA (497 nucleotides) under uncultured bacterium. Its description in RNAcentral is "partial 16S ribosomal RNA". It matches the Rfam family "Bacterial small subunit ribosomal RNA", at positions 28 to 507 of the family's 1533-position model. The record is from RNAcentral.
GAUGAACGCUGGCGGCGUGCCUAAUACAUGCAAGUCGAGCGAACAGACGAGGAGCUUGCUCCUUUGACGUUAGCGGCGGACGGGUGAGUAACACGUAGGUAACCUACCUAUAAGACUGGGAUAACUUCGGGAAACCGGAGCUAAUACCGGAUAAUAUUUCGAACCGCAUGGUUCGAUAGUGAAAGAUGGCUUUGCUAUCACUUAUAGAUGGACCUGCGCCGUAUUAGCUAGUUGGUAAGGUAACGGCUUACCAAGGCAACGAUACGUAGCCGACCUGAGAGGGUGAUCGGCCACACUGGAACUGAGACACGGUCCAGACUCCUACGGGAGGCAGCAGUAGGGAAUCUUCCGCAAUGGGCGAAAGCCUGACGGAGCAACGCCGCGUGAGUGAUGAAGGUCUUCGGAUCGUAAAACUCUGUUAUUAGGGAAGAACAAACGUGUAAGUAACUGUGCACGUCUUGACGGUACCUAAUCAGAAAGCCCCGGCUAACUACGUG